CAGUUUUCGACGGCGGAGGAUGUCAUUAAAGGUUCUCAGCACAUGGUUGCGACGCAGAUCUCUCGCGAACCUCUAGUCCGACAAUGCGUGAGGCAGACAUACUACGAACGAGCCAAGAUCCAUAUUGCACCCACGAAGAAGGGAAAGAAGGAAAUUGAUGAAAAUCAUAUGCUCUACUCGCUGAAGUAUAUCAAGAACAAGCCAGUGAAGGAUCUAAAGGGUGAUCAGUUCCUAAAGAUGUCCAUGGCAGAGCUGA
Priapulus caudatus is the source of this 256-nucleotide long non-coding RNA. RefSeq lists it as uncharacterized. Lineage: Eukaryota; Metazoa; Priapulida; Priapulimorpha; Priapulimorphida; Priapulidae. The record is from RefSeq and is a predicted model, not a curated record. The transcript has 3 exons.